UCGGGAUAGCUCAGCUGGUANAGCAGAGGACUGAAAAUCCUCGUGUCA
RNAcentral lists this transfer RNA (48 nucleotides) under Calycobolus glaber. RNAcentral's name for it is "partial tRNA-Phe". RNAcentral also lists the same sequence under 1 other name. The record is from RNAcentral. Lineage: Eukaryota; Viridiplantae; Streptophyta; Magnoliopsida; Solanales; Convolvulaceae.